This is a long non-coding RNA of Trichomycterus rosablanca, 194 nucleotides long. RefSeq lists it as uncharacterized. NCBI's taxonomy places the organism in Eukaryota, Metazoa, Chordata, Actinopteri, Siluriformes, Trichomycteridae. The transcript is spliced from 3 exons. The record is from RefSeq and is a predicted model, not a curated record.
CCACAAAGAAGCAGCACCGGAUGAUGAUGAGGAGCUAAUGAUGUUAGAAUGGAAUCAGCAGGGAGCAGAAAACCUGAUGUACAGAAUCCUGAUGCUGAUCGCUCACAGCUUUGUGAACAACAUGUAAAAACAGAGAUGUUUACAGACUCGGGUGGACAAACAUUAAACCCUGUGGAGCACAUCAACCCUGUGGA